UGUUGCUAUCUUAGUGGCGGACGGGUGAGUAACGCGUGGGUAACCUGCCUUGCACUGGGGGAGUAACACUUAGAAAUAGGUGCUAAUACCGCAUAACAGGAGAAGACGCAUGUCUUUUCCUUAAAAACUCCGGUGGUGUAAGAUGGACCCGCGUCUGAUUAGCUUGUUGGCGGGGUAACGGCCCACCAAGGCAACGAUCAGUAGCCGGCCUGAGAGGGUGAACGGCCACAUUGGGACUGAGACACGGCCCAAACUCCUACGGGAGGCAGCAG
RNAcentral lists this ribosomal RNA (272 nucleotides) under uncultured bacterium. Its description in RNAcentral is "partial 16S ribosomal RNA". It matches the Rfam family "Bacterial small subunit ribosomal RNA", at positions 82 to 354 of the family's 1533-position model. The record is from RNAcentral.